AGGCUGGACCCAGCCAGCCUCAAGGAGGGAAGAGAGGGACAUCAUGGUGGCGCUGGACUCCCUGCAGGGGCUCUGCAGAGGCAGAAGAUGAACAGUAAGAUGCAAAGAUCUGGCAACCUUCAGAGCUGGAUGUUCUCACAGAGCUACACAUGCCACAGUCAUCACUAGUUGCGAGAGUCUCCAGUGUUCAUUAAGCCUAUUUUGCUGGAAGUUUAGUCCCUGGAGGAUUAGUCCCUGCCCUUAAGGAGUGCCAAAGAAGACUUUGGAAUCUAAGUCACAUCUCCCCUGCUGCAAUUUUUUCCUCUUGAUAAUCAAGGAAUCUCACUGAUAAAACUCUCAAUGAGGAGCAGCUCUCCCCAUGAGCAAGUUCUUGCCUUCAUUGCCAGGGAGGCCCCAGCUAAGGUUAUACUGGGAAAGGAAUCUCUGGGGAGUACCUGGAAGAGGUCAGCUUCUCCUCAAAGGAAGCCUCUCCAGCUGGUGUACUGCAAAGCCUUCCAAGACCAAGUUCCCUCUUCCUGGCCUCUGGAACCAGCCUGUGUGCCAGCGCUGUGUCCCCAGUAACACACAUGAGUCUCUCCCUCAGAAGCCACAGAAGGAUGCAGAGAGAGACCAACCCAGGAUUGAUUCUCAGCACUUACUAAUUGUGUGGACAUAACUGCUCUGGACCUCAGCUUUGCUAUCUAUAAAAUGAGCACCCUUUUUAUAGAUAUGAACACUUUAAGAGAGUCAUAAAGAUUGAAGUUGAUUUGUGCUGCGCCUGGCACAGAGGUCUCCCUCAGUAAAUGGCAGCCACUGCUAUUGGGGUGCCCCAACACCCCUUGCCCCUGCCCACCAUUAGCUUUCACUUAGGCCCACACUGAGGGUGUGGCUGUUGUGUUGGGGGAAGGAAAAAAACCAUGCCUGGGUUGCAGGGCCCCCACCACCAACUGGUCUGCUUUUGUGGGAAGCAUUUUCUGAUGCCCUCGCCCUACCCGUGGGCUGGUUGACUAAGUGUCCAGCAUCAUGAGGAAAAGAGCAGGGUUCAGGGACAGCUUGGCUCAGCCCUGAAACUCAUCUGGGCCUAGGUCCAGAUGAGAGGCAAGCCUGGGAGGCCUUCCGUUGUACCCUUGCCUAUCCUGCAGCACCCUCUAGCCUGCAGGCCGCUCCUGGGUGGCAUAGCACCUUGGAUGUCAGGUGUGGGCCUUCCCAGGCACAUGGCAUGAGGGGGCACUUCUGUGGGUUGUUGGGGGCAGGAAGGGAUGUGUCUCCAGCUGGACUUGGGCUCUCGCAUUUUGGGGCCCAGCCAUGCCAGGACAGCACACAUGGGCGCUUAGUGCGAAUCUCAUGAUGGAGCAGAGGAGGAGCAAAGCAAAACCAGGGAGUCCCCAGGCCCCUGCUUCUGCCCCGCCCAGAGACAGUGGAGCAGGUGUCUCCAGCUUCUUAACCUCAACGCACAGUAAGAAAUACAUUUUACAGCAACCAAUAGACACAUACAUUUACAAAACGA
Molecule: long non-coding RNA, 1486 nt
Filed under: Homo sapiens (human)
Lineage: Eukaryota; Metazoa; Chordata; Mammalia; Primates; Hominidae
Description: long independently transcribed non-coding RNA 2874, transcript variant 4 (LINC02874)
Source: RNAcentral